RNA transcript from Fragaria vesca subsp. vesca, 839 nucleotides. It is a transcript of the gene named probable glutathione S-transferase-like, with no coding region annotated. The record is from RefSeq and is a predicted model, not a curated record. The transcript is spliced from 3 exons. NCBI's taxonomy places the organism in Eukaryota, Viridiplantae, Streptophyta, Magnoliopsida, Rosales, Rosaceae.
CUCUAAAGUUUUAGCAUAAAUACUCACAGUGACAUUACAGACUAGGCUAUUCACCUAAGUUAACUAAACCUUACAAUUAUCUUUCUUCAAGACUUUAAAUGGCAAAUGAGGUGGUGUUGUUGGGAUUCUGGCCUAGCCCUUUCGUGGCGAGGGUGAAGAUAGCACUGGCUGAGAAAGGGGUACAGUAUGAGUACAAGGAGGAGGACUUGGAGAACAAGAGCUCACUCUUGCUGCAAAUGAACCCAAUUCACAAGAAAGUGCCAGUGCUCAUUCACAAUGGCAAACCGCUCUCCGAGUCUCUCAUUGUGGUUCAAUACAUAGAUGAGGUUUGGAAAGAUGGGCCUCCAUUGUUGCCUUCUGAUCCGUACCUUAGGUCCCAAGCUAUGUUCUGGGCUGACUUCGUUGACAAAAAGAUAUAUCCAGUUGGGUGGAAGCUUUGGACAACCAAAGCAGAAGAGCAAGACGCAGCAAAGAAGGAAUUCCUUGAGAACACUGGGUUGUUAGAAGAAGAGCUUAAAGACAAGCCUUUCUUUGGUGGUGAGAACCUUGGAUUUGUGGAUGUGGCACUUGUCCCUAUCUAUAGCUGGCUUCCUGUGUAUGAGAAAUUUGCAAACUUCAGUUUAGUGGUAGAGCGCCCAAAGUUCAUUGAAUGGGCUAAGAGAUGCAUGGAGAAGGAAAGUGUGUCCAAGUCUCUUCCAGACCAGCAAAAGCUCAAUGACUUCAAGCUUUGAUCGAUGAAACCGAAAAUUCAUGGUGACGGUGAUGAACUGAAGAUGAGAGGACAUGCAGUUAGAUGGAUUGCCUUCACCUUGGUGUGGGUAUUGAAUCUCUCACAGUAA